UGCUUAAAUAGCACCAGCACUUUCAGAGACAACAAAAUAUGGUUCAGGUCUAAUAACGGAAGUCAUGGAAAAUCACUGCACUACUUAGUCUUUGACCAGCUAGAGAAAAUAUUGGAUCUGAAAGUAUAUAAAUUAGCUCCAGUGUUCCAUUAGUAUAUAUUAGCAUCAGUAAUCAGAAACCUAAAAAAGAAGUUUAAUGGAAAAAAUGAAGGUCCUGGAGAUGCAAAAAUGAAAACAAAAUAGUCCUUUCCCCCAAGGAACUGAAAGUCUAAGGAGAAUAACAAACAGAACAAGAUUCUGGAUGAACAUAGCACCAUGACUCCCAGAAAGUUCUGAACAGGGUGGAAGGAUGAAGAGGAUUUUCCACAGCCCCCUGCUUGAGGCACAGGCAGGGGCUGUUCCAGAACAAAGAUGAAGACCGAGUCCUCUCAUUGGAAGAAGAUGUUCACCUCAGUGGCUUCUACAAGCAGAACAGGUCCCUUUCUCAAUGAGGAUGCUCUUGUAGGCAACACUUUAAAGUAGGACCCUUACUUCAACCCCAUUUGAUUCUCUUUCUGCAGCCUUUUCCCCUCUCUAAGUAGACUGAGUCGCCAUGGACCUCAUUUCUUUCUUCUCACAACAAGGAGGCCCUGCUUAGGAAAAUAUUGUGAUAAAUAGAUUCAUCCAACCAUUUAUUGGACAAAUAUUACUGAGCUCCAACAAGGUGCCAGGUUGAGAAAUAAGUGAUGGAUCAGGCAUUAUUCCUCCAAGGUCUAACUGGUUAAAGUGUGUGCCCCAUCACUAAUGGAUCAGGUGUCAAUAACCAGGCCUCCCAAGCAUGACUGAGGCCGUGCCACAAAUCACUGAAGCCUCACAAGACAAUUUCUAUUCCUGUCUUGGACCAGAUCAGCUGUGCCCAGGUCAUACUGAGAUUAUUUUUCUGGAAAAUAGUCAGCUCUUCUCCAUUUCAUUGUCACACAGGCAUGAACAAAGAUCCCGGCCCAGGCGUCGUGGUACAAUUGCAUUAAUAUUUGGGUUGGGGGUAAGUACAAAGGAGUGGAGAACCAUAGAAGGUGACAAGUGAGUGCAGAAACAACACAAUGAACAGCAGCAAGCCAGCCUGUGCAAAGCCAAUGGCAGGACACCCAUCAGCAAAUGUGGCCUCUGUGACCUUCCAAAGUAUGUUGUAAUUGGGUGGAUUUCUGGGUGAGUAUAUUGGAAAAACCAAACUGCUUUUCCUCUGAUGUUGUACCACAACCAUCAAUAAAGAAAACUUCUGUG
RNAcentral lists this long non-coding RNA (1260 nucleotides) under Homo sapiens (human). RNAcentral describes it as "HSALNT0219868". The record is from RNAcentral. Lineage: Eukaryota; Metazoa; Chordata; Mammalia; Primates; Hominidae.